GUACAUGUGUGCAUAUUCCUACAGGCCACAUACACAGGCGGGAAAGAGUCAUCUGUUCUGUCAAUCGUCCAAUCUCUCAAUCGUUCUACUGGUACAUCUGACAUACGACAUAUACUCGUAAUACGUAAAGACUGAACACGAAACUACAGGUCCGCACAUUUCACACGACACACGACCCCAUCAAUUUAAGCGACUAACACAAUUCAAGUGUAGAUCUGGUGCACACAAAAUAGUUUAGUAACAGUCAACACAAAAAACUACAGGUAAACACAUUUCCUCCUGAUAUCGGAUCGGGUUAGGGGUCUGGGGUCAGGAUCUUCGAAGUGAGCGUAUCUUGAACGUAUCUCUUCAAUAGUAUCAGCAGAGCUCGAGGUGCUUGUGCUCCUACUGUUCGAAAGCAUGUCGGCAUAUCUCUAGUUCAAAGGAAAUAAAGGACAAUGAAGUUAAUAUAUUUUGAUAAACUUGAGAAUUAUAUAUUUUUAUACAAAAUGAAA
Molecule: long non-coding RNA, 494 nt
Organism: Drosophila persimilis
Lineage: Eukaryota; Metazoa; Arthropoda; Insecta; Diptera; Drosophilidae
Exons: 3
Source: RefSeq, a predicted model, not a curated record